AUCAUUUGGUUACAAACACCAUCUGGAUAGACAUAGCCGUGUUCACGAUACUAGUGUUUUCACUUGUAAAAUAUGCCACACUAAGGUCAAAACAAGAAGCAAUUUUAUUAGGCAUAUGACUCGGCAACAUGAUGGGUUAGAUCCUAAAAAUUACUGAAAUCAGAGUAUUUAUUAAAAAACGUCUCAAUAUCGAUUAUUGCUGUUCUUCUUUAUAUAACAAACAGUUUGUAGCAGGUAAAUAAUUAACUGAUGUUUGUCAGGAAAAAAAUGCUAAGCAUGUCCAUUGCUAAAAAUGAUUGAUGCAUUUUGGACAAGAGCAAACUUACUAUCUUAUUUUAGGGGCGGACCAUUAGAGGCUUCGGUAGGGGGAAAUUUGCGCACAAAAUUGAUUUGAUUUUGAAUGGAUAUUGUCUUCUGAUUUGAAUUCCUUGCGUCGGUUAUAUAAUAUAUAUUGACGAAAUACA
Molecule: non-coding RNA, 464 nt
Organism: Paramuricea clavata
Lineage: Eukaryota; Metazoa; Cnidaria; Anthozoa; Malacalcyonacea; Plexauridae
Source: the annotation of a GenBank genome assembly